CUACGGAGGGUGCAAGCGUUAAUCGGAAUUACUGGGCGUAAAGCGUACGUAGGCGGUUCGUUAAGUUAGAUGUGAAAGCCCCGGGCUUAACCUGGGAACUGCAUUUAAAACUGGCGAACUAGAGUUGAGUAGAGGGGAGUGGAAUUUCAGGUGUAGCGGUGAAAUGCGUAGAGAUCUAAGGAACACCAGUGGCGAAGGCGACUCCCUGGACUCGAACUGACGCUGAGGUACGAAAGCGUGGGUAGCAAACGGGAUUAGAAACCCUAGUAGUCC
RNAcentral lists this ribosomal RNA (273 nucleotides) under uncultured bacterium. RNAcentral describes it as "partial 16S ribosomal RNA". It matches the Rfam family "Bacterial small subunit ribosomal RNA", at positions 523 to 796 of the family's 1533-position model. The record is from RNAcentral.